RNAcentral lists this ribosomal RNA (175 nucleotides) under Pyricularia oryzae 70-15. The record is from RNAcentral. Lineage: Eukaryota; Fungi; Ascomycota; Sordariomycetes; Magnaporthales; Pyriculariaceae.
GACGCACACCAACGUACACGUGCAGGCUUGAUUUAUUGGGUAGGAGAGCCAUGUAUUGGAGUGGGGAGUUCUAUCUAGGCUAAAGAGCGUGGCAGCGCUUCUAUCGUGCUCCUAACGCUGACUAAGGUAUGUUUGUCAUGUGACACCAAGAUCGAACUGAUUAUCUAAUACAACA